GCGCUUGACCAAGCCUGAAACUACAAGUAAGCUUCAAGUGAAAUUGAUACAUUACCUUGUGCAUCUCCACCAGUUAAAGAUACCACCCCUGGAUGGAGGAAGAGUACUUCCAGAGAAGAUGCCACAUCUACCUAUGAGACAGAUAAGGCAAGUCAAGACGACAUCACACUCCGAUACUUAGAAGUUUCGUGAUUACGAGAUCAUUCUCCUACAAUAUUUCCUAAUGUCAUUUGUACUAAAUCAUUCACUUGUACUCACUAAAGGAGAGCUUGAACCUAUGUACUUGUGUAAACCCUUCACAAUUAAUGAGAACUCUUCUAUUCCGUGGACGUAGCCAAUCUGGGUGAACCACGUACAUCUUGCGUUUGCUUUCCUAUCUCUAUCCAUUUAUAUACUUAUCCACACUAAUGACCGGAGCAAUCUAGCGAAGAUCACAAAAAGCGACCGUUUUCGCUACCUAGGAUCUAUCUUGCAAGAGAACGGAAAAUUAGAUGGAGAUCUCAACCAUAGAAUACGAGCUGGAUGGAUGAAGUGUAAGAGUGCAUCCGGCGUGUUGUGUGACCGUCGUAGGCCACUGAAGCUCAAGGGAAAAUUUUAUAGGACGGCAAUAAGGCCAGCGAUGUUGUAUGGCACAGAAUGUUGGGCGGUGAAGCAUCAACACGUACACAAAAUGGGUGUAGCGGAGAUGAGGAUGCUUCGUGGGAUGUGUGGGCACACGAGAAAGGAUAAGAUUGGGAAUGAGGAUAUCCGAGGUAAAGUAGGAGUAGCCGAAAUUGUAGGAAAGAUGAGAGAAAAUCGGCUCCGGUGAUUUGGACAUGUGCAAAGAAGGCCGACUAACGCUCCGGUUCGAAGAUGUGACUACGGGACAGAGGUUCAGGGUCGAAGGGGUAGAGGAAGACCUAGGAAAACUUUGGAAGAGACUCUAAGAAAAGACUUAGAGUACUUGGAUCUAACGGAGGACAUGACAUAAAACCGAGCGCAAUGGCGUUCUAGGAUUCAUAUAGCCGACCCCACUUAGUGGGAAAAGGCUUUGUUGUUGUUGUUGUUGUAUUUGAUUAAAUGAAUACUGUAGGAACAUUGCCUUGACAUAUGUGCUUUCGUAUGGAAAACUGAAUUUUGUGUGUUUAUAAGCAUGUAUAUACUCAAUAUUUAUUUAAAUUACAAUGGAAUUGACUGAAAAUUAUGGAGAAUUAGUAUAAGUUUACACACCGAAAGAAAUAGAAUGAAAAUGUAAGUAAAGAAAAAUUAGAAUGUAAUACAUAAUAUCUUAGUAUGUAGGGAUUGAUGACUAAAUGUGCUACGUGAAGAGAUUGCUUAUUUCGUUAGUUAAGGGCAGCACUUGAUAGAAGCGUAACCAAAACCAGGUAAGAGUCACAUUUGGUUGCAUUCCUAUCUCAAUUUUGUGUAUUAUUCACUUAGCUCUAUGUUGUUAACUGCAAAUUUUGCUAUUUUUGUUGCCUUCCGUUUUAUCUACUAAUUAUUGUUCUAUGAAUUGUAUUCUUCAGUUAAAUAAUGAUAACUAGAAUCCCAAAGAAAAAAAAUAAAUUCAAGGAUUGCAGUGUUUGGGAUGAUAAUUUGUAUCCAAUAUGAUCAUUAGCCAGGCAGAACCUAAUUUGGGAAGUGGUUUUAAAGUUUUAAUAGUUUUGUUGUGUGUAAAUUUCUUGCUUUGCCUAGCUACCAAGAAUCUAAUAACCAAAGGCUUAGGUGUUUUCCCCAAAUGGUUUUCAAUUUGUUGUAGGUAAACGAGGGCUAAUGUAUUGUUAUGCACAAGGAAAUGGAAGGAAAGUAAAACUUCAAGCUUUUAAUACAAAUUAUAAAUGGAGCAACACUAAACAAAAGAUAGGUAAAACUGACCACUACCUUCUUUCCAGUUAAAUGUAAAUCAAUUGAUUAAGUGUGUGUUUAAAAUGAAGUUUCAAUUGUUUUCAAACUCUAACAAUGAACUUCUACGCGUUAAGAUAAUCUAUUUAGAGUUUUGAUCCACUUUUGAUUAUGCAGAAUUUCAAUUUUUUUUCAUAUAAAGUUUCCAUUUUUCUUUUGAGUGAGAGAAGAAGUUUUAAUUUGGGUUUACAAUUUUUUCCUUUGUAGAUUUUCGUAGUAGGACCGAGCUUUCAAAAGGCACUUCAAGUUCUGGAAAUCUUUUUUGUUAUGGUUUUGUUAUAUCAGGUUCUAAAUUGUGCAAACCAUUUCUUUAAUUAGAGAAAAUUAAGCACAAUCCUGCUUAUAUACAUAUUGUUAUUUUAAGAAACAAUUUUGUUAGUCUUUUCUAAAAGAAAUGAUAAUAAGAAACUGCAAUUUACUUUUCGGUAUCAUUCUUAACUGAUUUCUGAAUUUAUGCCCAAGUCUGUCUAAUCUACUCCAAAUAUAGGCUGAGCAAAAGGAGGAAAGGUUUAAGUAGGUAUGUGUACAAUGUGUUUUCAUCAAUUCUUUCUCAGAAUGUGCCUUCAUUGUUGGUUUAUGUACUAUUUUUCUCUGUCUAAAAAAUUGAAAUAAAUAUGAUAUUUUCACUAUUCCUUCUUCUUCCAAGUUUUUUCCACAGAACAUAAAAAUAGAAAUGACUAUUUGUUUCCCUUUUUCUACUUUGUUCUUUUGCAGCAAAACAAGCAUGAUUUUGUUGGUACUCCUUAUUUAGUGAAGCAACGGUUUCAUAUUGUGAACUGUCUUUGUGUGUUUAUCACCUUAUUCUUUAUGGUUCCAGUUUCCUAAAUGAAGUUUGACAUGUAUGGAAUUUGAAAAUUUAUAUCCAUAAACUUCAUUUUGCCCAUGGACACCUAUGUUGUUCCGUAUUUUUGAAAGAGUUGUAAAUAAAUUUGCACAUGUAUGUGAAUAAUAUUGUCUACUGUAUAUACAUAUAUAUAAUUUUUUUUAGAACUUCUAAAUGUGUUAUACAAUUUUCAAUCCUGCAGUAAUGCGCAGUCAUCCUUGCUAGUUCAAGCUAAAACACAUACCACAACAUGCAAUUUAUCCAUGACAUUUGGAUUAAAUAUAAACAUGAGUGAUUCAUUAAUCUUUGUGAAAAUCCUUUUGGUAAACCAUGUAAUCCCUAAAAAGUAUGAAAUUUAUCUUAGGAGAAAUUAUAAUCCUCAAUCACAAGAAGCAUAACCAAUUUUAACGUGAUAUUCGUUCAAAAUUGCAUCCGAUGACUUUUCUAAGCAUCAUAAUGGUGAUCAAACAUCAAAACACAUAGAUAGUUUAAUUCAGUGAUUGAAAAUAUCAAAGCAAGCAUGUAACAACACUUAAGCAAUUAAAAGAGAAACCUACGUAAUCAUGUUGAGGCUCACAACCUCACUUUAGCAAAAGGAAAUUAGUUAUACAUGUUUGAAUGCAUAAAGAAUUAUCCAUGAAGAAUCAAGGAAAGAGAACCACCGUUUUUUACAAGAAUUCUCCCUAAGCUCUCUCUUCUCCUCUGAAAAAAAGAAACUCCUCCUUUUGUCAUUAUCGCCUCACUAUUUAAAUUCCCCUAAUGCGUACUUAAAAAGACUCCAAUCAUCCACAUUCCGGAUCAGAUUAGGAGACACAAAAUAAAUGUCAAUUAAAAUUGAUUUCCUAAUUUAAAUGGACAAACAGAACGUGCCCUGCCUCCAUACGUUUGGUAGACCAAAAGUCCCUAGAUUUCAAUGAAUGAGCUGUCCUUAGAAGGCUUGAAAUGUUUGCUUCACAAGCUAGCAAGAAAGUUUCCUCAAUUUAGGCUUUAAUUAUGCUUAUCUCUCAUGCAACCUUUAGAGAUCCAAAUUGUCUUGUCAGCACGCUGCCUUGUCUUCAUUCUUAAACUGGGAAUGAUUGGCUGGGAAUUUUAAGCUAAAAACUUGAAACGAUCAUCUUCAAUCUCUUGUGAAUCAGCUCCAACUGGAAUCACUCAAAAAUUCUAUCAUUUGCAUACUUUUCCACCAAACUCGAUCCUGCUGCUCCUAAAAACACAAUAUGGCAAAAGUAUCACAAAUACUUAAAACUUCCAACUAAACUAGACAAGAAAAGAAAUGUAAAAGUGCAAAAUAUAUAUAGUAUAAAUAUUGGUUCAUCACCUUUCACGAUCUUGCUCAUACGAGCUUGAUUCGGGUGUUGUUUUUCGUAAAAGAAUGAGCUCUGAAAGGGAUAGGCCUAAGAUAAUCAACACUCAUUCAAGGACCUAAACUUAACCUCAUUAACCUAUUAUUGUUGAAAUGUAUUUCUACAUCUCAAUCUUCAUAUUGGUUAAUAUGGCUAGGUUCUCAAUUUUGAAUUGGUUGAGGAGGGAUUGCUUCAUGCAGUCAUUCCAUCUAAUUCAUCACAAUUAGCUACAAUGAAUUGGGCCUUAAAAUUAACUGAAACAAAUUUAAAAGGGUUCUUUUGCCACUUAACUUCAUUUGAGAGAUGACAUUUUCUGGUACCAAUGAGCACAUUAACUUCUUUUUUUCUGUUUUUUUGGUGAAAUUUCACAGCAUCUUUGGUUGUAUUGUGUUGGGAACAUCGUAUCACUUUAAUCUCUCCAAAAAAUGGAAUAUAUUUGCUACACUACGGACCAAAAUUAUAAUAUAUAAUAUGAUUUAAUAAUCGAUCACCCAAGAUCAUGAACAAUCAAUUCUAGAUACUUCGAAAAAAUAAAAAAUAACAAAUAUAGGAAUCUGUAAUUUCUGCAUGUUCCGAGCAUCAAUGAAAUUGCUUGACAAAUGAUAAGAAAGUUGUCUCCAAGGAUAUAUGUAUGUAUGUGUGUGUGUGUGUGUGUGUGUGUUGUGUGUGUAGCAUGAUGAUCUUCUCUAGAUCUUCUUUGUGAGAAUCUUAGAAAUUCUUACAUCAUGAUUAUUCAUCGUAUAUCGUUCGAUUAGUUUUCGUUAAAUAUUAUUUAUAUUUAUUAUUAAAUAAAAAAAUUAAAAUAAUUUAUCAUUGUACGAUUUAUGAUAAAUAAUUAGAAUGUGAGAAUUCUUAAGAUCCUCACAAUUUGAAUCCGGAUAAAAUCCAAAUCUACAGACCCUUUAACAAGAGGGAUCCUUAUUUAAAAAAAAAAAUAGGGACACUCUCUUGACAGUUGAAUUGACUUUAAUGAAAUUGUGUGAUUCAGAUUAAAUCAUAGACCAUAUAAUUUCAUUAAAGUCAAAUCCAACGAUCAAGAAGAUAUCUCAAUUUUUUUUUUUUUAAAUGAGAAUUCCUUUUGUUAAAAUAUUCCUCUAAAUCUAUAUAUACAUAUACGCUAGCCGAUAGGCUAAACAUAUUUGACUGCAACCUGCUCGGGAUCUGCAUACGAUGAAAGAUUUGAAUAUUGUGCCAGUGCACAUAGACAAUGACAUGAUAGAGACUGAGUGAGACAACUUAGCAGAACUAAAAAGGAAAACAAAUAUAUUUUACAUUAAAAAUAUGAAACUUUUCCGAAACUCUUCAUAAAAUCCAUUUUUGUUUGCCUUUACAACAAAAAUAAAAGCUUUCUGUUAUUUAACGUUUUAACACCGCUGAAUAAAUUUUGAUAGCGAAUUACUUGAUUCGAUGAAUGAAAGAGGCCCUACAACCUCUUUAAAAAUAAAAAUAUCGUCCAACAAAAUGUUCAACCGAGGUUUAAAUAUUAGGAACUUUAACGAUAAGUUUUUGAUAUUGUUCACUUCAACAAAAAAUCAUAUUUUAUACUAAAAAAUUAAUCCUAAUACUAUUUACUUUACCCUUUAUUCUGUCUUUAUCGUUAAAACUCAAAAUUUUCAAGCUCUUUUUAUUAGUUUUCUUUUAAAUAUUCACUACAAUUGUAGUUGGUAGCACUACCAUGAUAUAAAGAAUAUAGCUAUAUUUGAGGCAUACACUAAAGUGGAAUCACUCUUAGUUAUUGAUAAAUCACCAACCCACAACUCAAUUAAAUCUCAGUUUAGUACCCUUAAGAGCAACUCCACCCUUGGAGCCCUUCCCCCUGGCAAUCCACUAUUCAAUCCACCUAAUGAACAGUAACUGCCCUUAAUAAAUAGUAAUUGUCAUUUGCAUCUCCACCCUUGGAAACCUUUCCCCUGGCAAUUAGUAAUAAAAUAUUAAUAUUUUUUUCUCACCCAGUCCAUAAAAUAUUAUUAUUUUUCUCACCCAAUCCAUAAAAUAUUAUUAUUUUUUCCUAAUUUUGACCGGUACUCUCUCUCUUUCUCUCACAUCAACAACCAUGGAACACCGAGGAGGAAGGAGGAUGAGGAGCGGAAGGAGGACGAGGAGGAAGGAGGAAGGAGGACCGGUCCUCUCUCUCUCUCUCUCUCUCUCUCUCUUUCUCUCUCUCUCUCUCUCUCUCUUUUUCUCAGCAGCAGCCAUGGAACACCGAGGAGGAAGAAGGGCGAGGAGGGGAAGGAGGACGAGGAGGAAGGAGGACGAGGAGAACACCGAGCGCAUGCACCGAUGCCGCACAUCAGCCAUACGUCACACAGCCCUCAGGCUCUCUCGGGCUGGCAAUCCCCGCCGGGCUUGUCGCUCGGGCCCUUUCUCCUCGUCUGUCCCCCGAGCAACCAGCAACGCUGGAUCCCCAUCCCCCGGCCGUUGGGCCCUUUUUCCUUGCCUGUCCCCCGAGCAACCAACAAUGCUGAAGUUGCUCUAAGUUUCGUGGUUUUCAACAUUUGGUACAUGCAGUUUUUUUCAUCCCAGAGUCAUACCUAAAGUAUUAAUUUUGGGACAGACUCACACAUCCGUUAGUCUGGUUGUUAAAUCUCUCCUUAACUGAUGACGUGAUGUCCAUGUGGACAAUGACUGGGCGCCACAUGUCAUUAAGGGGUCCUCGUGGAAAUUAAACAUUAAAAAAAUUAAAAAAAAACCCAAAUCCCUUUCGUCUUCCCCAGAAUCCUUAACCGUGCCCACCCUCCCACCCCCCAUCACCUACCCCUUCUUAGCAAACCCUCCCACCUCAGUCGUCAUAAAAAAACCCCCAAUGUUCAUGUGCCUCUCUGGCAUAUACGUAGUUGGAAAUGGCACAAGUGGUGGCAUUCCCACGGGAGACGACCCUUGGCCGGUUAAAUGUUGUUUGGAAGUUUUUGUGUGUAAUAAUCGUCGGUGUAACCCCUAGGGUUUCCCAUUUCAUCUUUUUUCCGGUGAUAGAUGGUGGUCGGCUCGUGACCAGCAACGAUUUGCAUCAUCUGCAACUCCUGGAUCUACCUUUGAAUCUCCGCCUGAGACAUCACCGGUUCUUUAGUGUGGCGAUCCCCAGGAAAUUGGGGUUUGUCGGCGAGGCCAUGACCGGAACCGUCGAAGAUGAUCCAUCAGGAGACCCGAUCUGAAUCGAAUUCAAAGUGUCGACGAACCACUGGCCCUCGGACUUGGUCUAGCUGGAGCCGAAGCUAGCGGAAGUGUUGCUGUCCAGAGGGAAAAGAAAGAGUUGGAGCCUGGUGGGCUUAGCAGAUGCACUGUAGAGCCGGCCGUACUCGACCAUCAUGUGGUCACGGUCUUCGUCGUUGGUGACAUAUAUGAGAACAUCGAGAUCUUUGCCGGGAAGCUGGUACUUGAAGCAAACGACGUCGUUAGAGGUGUCGCAAAGGGAUGAGAGCUUAGAGAUGAAAACAGAGAGCUUGAUAUUGUGAUCGAUAACGAGGAUUUUGGUGUCAUCGCCGACGUAGGCAAGCUGGUGGUCGUAGGGGCGGGGUUGGAUUUUGCUGCCAUAGCUGCAUAUGAACUUGACUUUGUAGGUGGAGGUUGCAAAAGGGGGUUUGGUCGUCCCACGAGAGGGUGUUGCAGUCGAUUUCGCGAGAGCGAGGGGAAGAGUCGAGGGAGUCCGGGUACAAGUGGUGCGAAAGAAAGAGUGUUGGGAGUGGAAGAAGGGGUGGGAGGGUGGGUACGGGUGGGGAUUAUGGGGAAGACGAAGGGGAUUUGGUUUUUUUUUUUAAAUUUUUUUUAAAUUUUUUAUUUCCACGUAGACCCCUUAAUGACACGUGGCGCCCAAUCAUUGUCCACAUGAGCGCCAUGUCAUCAAUUAACGGGAGACUUAACAGCCAAACUAACAGAUAUAUGAGACUGUUUCAAAAUUAACACUUCAGGUAUGACUUUAGGACAAAAAAAACUUCAUGUACCAAAUGUUGAAAACCACGAAACUUGAGGGUAGUAAACUGAGAUUUAUCCUUUAAAAAAAAAUAAAAAUAAAGUAUUACAUAUUGUCCAACUAUUGAUAGGCAUACACAUCGUAUUUUUAUUUAGAACAAUAGCCUCUGAUCGAUGCAUACUUUUUCCCACGACUUGGAAACCAAAUUAAAAUUAUCAAUUUUGAAUAUUUGAUCAAUCACCACCUACUGUAUAUUGUGAGACUUAAACAUGAAACCUAUGUGAAUGGAUCUAUGAAAACUAUUGCGAACAAAUAAUUAAAGCAUAAUGUCACUUAGUACUCCAGUCUAGUGGUAUUUCUCUUCAUUUGUAAGAGCAGUUCCACUGUGGGCUAUUGCCCGAGGAACUGGCUCUUAAACAGGGUCAGAAAGCCCGAGUGGGUCCGAGGGAGAGGCCCGACAAGAGUUGCCAGCUCGAAAGCUCAAAGGCCAUGUGACGCAAGAUUGACGUCUAGGCGACAUCAGCCAUCAUCUCCACUGCAUUUCUGGGCCUCAACCUUACAACUACUCGAUCUCUUCCGGGUACUAUUUGAUUUGAAAAAAGUUAAACAACAGGCAUACAAGCAACAUUUCAUUUACUCAUUUGAAUUUGCCAUGCUUAUUCUAUUACCUCAAAAUUUUCAAAUUCUAAACAUUUAUUUAAAUGAUGAAUUGAAAUAAUGCUUCCAUUUUUCUCCAAAAUUCAAUCGAAUCCCAUUUGGGGAAACAAAAACUGACCUCCGUCGUCCUUGGAAGCUGUGGAGCCAAAUAACGCAGUGCGGAUCCAGGAGAUUGAGAAUGAGGGAGCCAGGACUUGAAUGAUGACAAUUUGAAAUUAACCGGGCGAUCCAGCUUCACGGCACCCCUCUGCACCACACCAUUUAGCGAAGCCAUAAACUACAGAAGUGCAGCAAAAAUUAAGAAGGGCAUUAAGGUGUGCUGCUCUGCUGUGUGUCGGAAGUGCAGCAAAAAAAAAAAUGGUAGAAGUUUCAAAAGUAAUAAUCUAAUAUUAAUUUAUACAAAGUAAAUAAUAUAAUGUUAAUUAUAAAUUAAAAUAAAAAAAAUAUUUUAUUACCUAUUGUCAGGGCUAUUUAGUGUAGGGAUGGAGAUGCAAAAGACAGUUACUGUUUAUUUAAGGGCAAUUACUGUUCACUGGGUGGACUAAAUAAUGAAUAACCCCGGGGGGGGCCUUUGCAACCGUGGAGUUACUCUAAGUGAGAGGUCUUAUGUUCGAUUCUUGCCAAUGGCGUGAUUGAACCAUAUUAUUAUGGCAAAGCCCAUCCUCCUGGCCUUUAGUGUAGAUAUUAUUGGCAUACUAACUCCCUUCAUCUACCUUCCUUCAUAUUGAACACACAGUAUUUGCUUGUUUUUGACAAUUUCUUCUAAUUAAGCAUUCUUCUUGUCUCUCUUAAACAACUUUUAAUCAGUCACUUGGUAUUACAAUCUAAUAAUAUUCAUCUUUACUUGUAAGCGAGAGGUUUUAGGUUUGAUUCUCGUCAAAUGCGAGUUUAAAUCAUAUUAUUGCUAACCUAUUGUGAGUUUAAGCUUAUCCUCUUUUUGCUAUGAUAGAUUAUAUCGUUUUUUAAAAAUAAAAAAAAAAUAAAAAAAUAAAAACAACUAUCAAUUAAUUUGUUUAAGCACAACCAUGUGAAUGCUUGAUAUGGCCGAGUACAAGCCCAAUAAAUGCAUGAGAUGAAAAAAAAAAAAACAGACUUUCCGUUUUGGCUAAUAAUGCAACAACACAUGAGCUGUCUACUUUAAGUUGGUUGAGUACUGCUAUUUAAUAUUGUUGUCUAAUGAUAUUUAGUGAUUUUUUAUUUAUUAAAGGGUGUGUUAUCCACACAUCAUUUUAUUAAGGAGUGUGUUAAAUUUGAAUCUCGUGAUGACCACUUCGGUACUAAUUUAUUAAGGAGUGUGUUAUCCACACAUCAUUUUUUACUUUUUACACACCCUUUAUUAAUUUAUGUAUGUUGAUAUUUUUAAAUUCAUCCGAUCUGAAUAUCGAAAAUAAAAAAAGUAUGAGAAAAAUAAAAAAGAAUGUGUGGAUAUCACACCCCUUUAUUAAUUCCUUGACCCGUAUUGUAAAAAUUGGAAAUUGGUUGAAUUAUAUUAUUUCUCCAAACACGCCCCCCCCCCCCCGCGGCGGCGGCGCCGGAGUGAUUUCAAUAUUCCAAAUAAAUGCAACUUGGUAGUUGAAUUCAAACUCAACUGCCCAAACCAAACUCAAUUAAUUUAUUUUGUUGCAACUCAAAGUAAACCUAAACAUAAUAAUAUCUCAACAACAAAAGGAAUCACGAGCUUCUACAUCUAUUAUUUUUGCAUUUACACAAUGAAUCUUACCCAUUUAGUUACUCCUAUUCACCUUUCAAACUUGUUUCCUACGAAUCAACAUUUUCUCCCUAAACUCAUCUCCCUGGAUACACCAUACGUACAACUCACUUGUAAUAACAUACCAUUGUCGUACACAUUCCAUAACUGAAAUAAUUCACUUACCAAAUACUAUUUAAGAUUAUUUCCGUAAAAAAUCAAUCAAACUAAAGACCGUUUAAUAUUUAUGUGUGAAGAAGAUGACGAUUUUGGUAAUUAAAAUCAUUUUGAUAAAGUACCUUCCAUUUGUGAUAAAUAUAGACGAUCAAUUUGAUUAAUUAUUUGUAGAAAAAAAAAAUUAAACGGUGUUAAAUUAAAUAAAUAAUCUGAUUAUUGACAUGUGUACAAGUACAAUAAGAGUUCGUUAAUUAGCUACAAAUGGGUGGAUAAUUAAGAAGGUGAACCCUAGGGUGCACUCAAACAUUGUUCCCGUGUUAGAAUGUGUUAAAGAUUUAAACAACAUGGUUCUAGGAUCAAAGUUUGACAAGCAUCACGAAACAAGGACGAGAAGGAUGAAUGGUACUAACCUGCAUUGAUUGGAGGCAUGAUGGUUCGAGUAUCACAUGAAAAAAAGUUAGAAGUUCCAUCAUAAAACUACUUGACAAUAUGGAGAGUAGUCCAAUAUCUUAUUAGCUCUUGUAUGGUUUGGUUUAUCACCGAUUUGAGACUUUGUCCUCACUUUCUCACAUGCCCCCUCACGUGUGGCAAAUUUUCAAGCCUAACACGUGAACAACACAAAUUCAGUGAAUUGGAGCACGUAUAGCCGAUAGGCUUCACACAUGGGCUAACAUGCUCUGAUGCCAUGAAGAAAGUUGAGGUUCCACCAUAAAACCAAUUGACAAUAUGGGGAGUAGCCCAACUUACUUAUAAGCCCAUGCAAAGGUCCUUCCUCCCAUCAAUGCAAAAUUCAUUCUCAACAUGCUCCUUCAUUUGUGACAAAUUUUCAAGCCUGACACGUGGAUAAGGCAAACCGGGUGACGUGGAGCAUCUAUGGCCAUUGAGCUUCACACGGGGGGACAACCUGCUCUAAUACGAUGAAGAAAGUUUAGGUUUCACCAUAAGACCAAUUGGAAGUAGAAGCCCAACCUCUUAUAAGCUCUUGCAUGGUUUGGUUCCUCACCGAUGUCAACCGAAUGACGUAGUUAACUUAUUAGUUACUCGGCCUGCGCACCACGUAGGCUAGGUAGUUUUUAGGGUCAACAUUUUGGCACGCCCGGUGGGACCAUAGUGCUAAAAAAUACAAAGUUCAUGACCAUUGAGACACGAUCGGUUAAAAACAAAACAGUCAUGUGAAAGUCCACGACCAACCUUGCAGUCCAGAACCCAUGACAAGAGGACUCGUCACAGGCACAUAAUCCUCUUGUCGCCGUGACACCUAAGGCCAUAAGCACGAUGCUCCGAGAAAAAGAGGUUGGUCUCGGCGACCAACCUCACAAUGCAGGAACCCCUAACAAAAUCGGGGGUGUUUUAAUAGAAGAUUGUGAUGAGGAUGGUGGUGAAGGCUCUGAUCCACCGACUAGGUCAUUUUUCCGAAGACGGUUUGAAGAAUAAUCUUAGCAGUUUAAGCAUACGUUCAGCCGAGAAAUAAAAGGAAUACUCGAAGAAGUACGUAGUUACAGCGCCGUGCAUACUAGACUGCUCGAGGUCCUAGUUAGCAAUACAUAUAAUAUUGGUUACGCCAACCAAUCUAGACAACCUAUUCCAAAGAACAGUUCAAUAACAGCGUCACUAGCCGAGACAGGAUUUGCUCGGCUCAGAAUGAUUGAUCUGGAAAAAAAGGGUGGAUCAAGCAGCAAGAUGAACGACUUUGUCCAAGGCGCAGAAACGGCAUCCAUCGAUGUAAUUGAGGUCCAAAAAAAUGAUUGAUUCAGCCCUGGAAAAAGGGCCGAAAUUCCCAAAGUUCAUCUAUCUAUACCUAGCUUAUGUAGAAAAGUUCGAAUAUCCAAAAGGCUUUAAGAUUCCAGAUUUCAGCCUUUUUGCUAGAGAAUCGUCCCUGUCCUCAUUAGAACAUGUAGCCCGGUUCACUGUGCAAUGCGGAGAUGUUAAUAGUGACUUCCAUAAACUGCGACUAUUUAACUUAUCGUUAACAGGCUCGGCAUUCGCAUGGUACAUCAACCUCCCGCCUAACUCCAUCCAAAAUUGGGAGGAACUAGUCGAGAAAUUCCAUGAGCAAUUUUAUCGGCCGGGAAUAGAAAUGUCAGUGUCUUCAUUGGCCAGGAUGGCUCAAGCAUCUGAUGAGUCACCAAUGGAUUAUCUUACAAGGUUUAAAUCGGCCAGAAAUUGGCACCGAGUACCUCUGCCUGAAGUCGAGUUUGUUAGGCUUGCUUUGAAUGGGUUAGACGUAAAAUACAAAAAGAAAUUCUUGGGGGGGAAAUUUCAGGAUAUGUAUGAACUGGCUCAACAUGUCGAGCAAUAUGAUUAUCUACUCCAGGAAGAAAAAAUAUCGAAAUCUCCGACCUGAGGAACAAUCUACAAGAAUCAUUCGGUCAGUUAUGCAUCGGUCGAAGGAGAAGACUCCUAAUUUGCCAGUGUAAACGCAGUCAAAAUUGUAAUCGAUAAGCUAUACAUAUGUAAGGCAUUGACCCAUCCUAACUCCAAGGAUGCCAAAAAUCGUCCAGCCUCUGAAGAAGCCACAAUCAAAACAUCAAAAGUUUAUACUUUUAAUAUCACUAAGGCUGAUGCAAUUUUCGACCAGUUGUUGCUUGCAAAGAUUAUCAAACUCCGGCAAGGGCAUAACGUUCCUAAGGCCGAAGAGUUGAAGGGAAAAACAUAUUACAAAUACCAUAACUCAAGUAAGCAUACGACAAACAACUGUGUCGUUUUUCGUGAUGCCAUUCAGAGCUGGAUCGAUGAAGGAAAGUUAAAAUUUCCUGAGAAACAAAUGACUAUUGACGUCGACCCUUUCCCUUCGACGACAGUUGGUAUGGUGGAUACUCAUUUACCUAAAAAUGAAGGGAAAUGAUAGGCUAGGUUCGUUCCGAUACAACAUAUCCCAAAGCAUAACUCUCGGCAGCGACUUAAGAUCGAUUUAUCUUCAAACGAACCAUCUACAGAAUUGUCGGGACCAGCCAUAGUGGAAUCAAUGUCAGACUCUAGCAUAGAGGAAACCGAUAAGUCGAUGGUUUUAUGCAGUCAUUGCCAAACACGUGUUGUCCUAACUGAGCCAAAAGGAAAACCUCUUUAUGCUCAAACACUGCGACAACCAUCUACGGUCGCAACGACAUCCCCGACGGUAUUCCGCGUAGGACAGUGCCAGAAGGUGUUCGAAAGGCUAUGCCCUAAAAAAUGACCUGACGACCUGCCCUCGGCUAGAUAUCGUCUUGACUUUGACGCGCCGUUCUACAAUGAGGAUUAUUAUUCGCACAACUCUAGUAGCUCGAGUUCAUCGAACCAAAAACCCGUUAAGCCGCCUGAGCCACGAGACCAACGAUGGUAUAGCUACAAUUCUCCUACCAGCGUAUAUACCGCGUUAUCUAAGUCUCAGAAGCGGCGAUGCUAACGGAUCAACUGCAUGGUUCGACGACAGGUGGCACAGGCAACUUCGGCUACCAAGUGGCAACCGAAAGAAGUAAUAGGUCGUAAAGACGGCCUAUAGCCCCCAUCAGUUAUGGACGAAUUGCUUCAGGAAAAAAAGGUGAUCAAUCGCUACUUUGACACUACAAUCGAGGAAUCUGAUAAGUGCAUCAAACUCUUUCUUCGACCCUAGAAAAUGAAAGCUCGUUUUGAGCAAUUCAGAGAAGAAGUGGAAAUUAAACUCCAUCCGUUGCCUUUGCCAGAGCCACUAAUUAAAAUAUGACAAAAUCUGCACCCCCCGUUUCUCGGCGAGGCUUUAGAGUACAUGCGGGACUUUCAUAAAAACCAUUCCGCCAAUGACUUGUACAGUUUGCCCAAGACAUGUCAAGAAGCCCUCGACCUAGCGUUAACUUGCCCUGAUGCUGAACAGAUUAUCCAGAAAACCACUGAUCCAGCGAUGAAGGCCAAGUUCCAACAUAUAUGCGAAGCUCGAGUCCUCGACUUCGAGGUCAACCCAUACACUGAUUUAGAUACCACCGAGCUCAUUUUUUCUCUUGAAGACCUUCAGUAUUUACGACAUCAUUUCAAAGUUUUCUCAGCUGUAUCUCUCUUCGGCCUUACGGCCGAUGAAAAAGAAUGAGUGGUGCGUUUGGAUACUUACCUAGACACAAGAAAUGCUCGAAUCGCUUAAGAGGAAAUGGCUCGUAAAGCGGUACAGGGACAAAAUCAAACCCCAGCAACAAGCAAUCUCGAGGACGAUAACCAGACUGAAAUAGGUUUAGUCGACGUUCCACAAGAACGAGAUAAUCAAGUCGAAGAUGCUCCAGAGCACGUUAUUGCACUCGAUGACCCAGAAAACAACGAUCAAGAUCCAAUGGGCCCUUCAGUUCUUGAAAAUAUGGAAAUCAACAUGGUCUAUGUUUUACCUGUCUAGUUUUAACCCACCGCGCACCAACCAAACUUCUUGGAUGGGGACGUGAUUAUCGAGAAGGCAACACAGGUCGAUUUCAUCGCCAUUGAAAAAGAUGGGCAAGCAAGCAAAGAAGACAAGCUUAAAGUAGCCUUGGCCGAACUAUUUCCUCGCUCUUCUUCGGUUAAUCUUCAACAUCUGAAGUCGUUGUAUGUCACGACUCACAUUGAAGGUUAUCCAAUUUCUAAAAAUUUUGUCAAUUAUGGGGUGACGAUUAACAUUAUACCUGUCUCCGUCAUGAAGGCACUACGACGAUCUCACGAUGAACUUAUUCCAUCAAGGAUAACCAUGAGCAGCUUUGUCGGUGACACGUCCCAAACCAAAUGAGAGUUGUAAGCGUUGCAGGUCGCAAUCACAUAAUCGCAUUCUUCAUAGUCGACUCCAAGACCAAGUAUAAUGCAUUGCUCGGUCGAGAUUGGAUCCAUCAAACAAACUGUAUCCCUUCUUCAUUAUAUCAGGUUCUCAUUUUUUGGGACAGUAAAUCGGUCGUGGUCUAUCUGGCCGACAAUCAGCCGUUCGAAGCCAACAUGAUACAAGCACGUUACUACGAUGACCACGUUGGCUAUAUCAUCUUGCACGGUCUUAACAAUGGAGGACAGCUGACUCGGAUUUCGGUUCAAAAAGCCAUCGAGGUAGGUGCCCAGACUGUUCACCAGGAUUUGGUGAGACUCGGGUUGGCUGAGCUUACAUGCUCACCUCUUUAUAGCACAAGGCCUUUUGGGAACUCACUGGCUUUGGAUUCCAUCAGAACUCCGAAGUUAAGUGAGUUUGGGCGAGAGCAUUCCCAAGAUGGGUGACCUCCUGGGAAGUUCUCGUGUGAUUUCCCAUAAACAAAACCGUGAAAGCAUGGCCAGGGCCUAAAACGGACAAUAUCGUGCUACAGCGGAGUCGAGACUAGGAUGUGACAACCACAAUAGCUAGAUUCGACAUGGUGCUCAUAUUGCAUAAGUGAGUUUGCAAAUUCGACUUCUUUGUUCAUUUUUGCAUUUGCAAUUGUAAGGCUUGCUUGGUAUUGUGCCAUUUGCAUUGCCAAGCAACGCAUUCUUUUAUCACCCAUUAAUGAGAUAUUGAUGAUUUUGAGGAAACAAAAACACUUGAAAGUUGGAUGAUUGGUGAAUAUGUUGUGUGAUGGUUAGAUAUUCAACCUAUGCUUAUAUAGAAGACGAUUGAAGGUUUGCAUUUCAUGUGUGUAGGUUUGUGUUUCAUGCGUUUCGUCAUGUGUUUUGUAUGUAUUUGGUAUGUGUUUCGUGUGUGUCAUGUGUUUCACAUGUUUGGUGUGUUGUACAUCUCUAUCAUGUGUUUUGUAUGUGCUUCAUAUGUGUUCUGUGUGUCUUGCGUGUUUCACGUAUUUUGUGUUUAUACAUCUUUAUCUUGAUUUUUUUAUUCUUCCAUAGUGUUUCAUGUAUCGAUUUAGUAAUUUUUCAAUAAUUAUCGGAAUUUAAAUAUUUUUAGGUUAAAAUGUUCAUAAAAUUAAUUUAGGAUGGUCUACAUAUUUUUUUUAAGUUAAUUUUAAAUACAUAAUUUUUUUAAAGUUAAUUUGAAAAAAAAUUAGCCUAAAUUCAUUAUUUAAUAAUCUGGGGUUAAAAUUUUAGGCUAGAGUGGUUGGAGUAGAAAAUCUGUUUAUGAGUUAAAACAAAAAUUUUCUGGACUAAAAAUUUUAGGUUUUACUCCAAGAGUUGGAGAUGGUCUAAGAUUUGUCUUUUUUAGUUGAAAGUUACUUUCCUUAAAACAAUCGGUAUUCAAAGGAGAUUUAAAUUCAGGAACUUUUUCAAUAUUGAAAAAAAUAAGUAAUAGACUAAAAAUUAAAUCAUACUCCCACCAAUAAGUAAUAGACUAAAAACUAAAUCAUACUCCCACCAUAAGACUUGUCUUUUAAUUAUGGUGAAAAGUGAAGACGAUAUGGCAAGUGAAGAUGAUAUGCCACAUCUACCUAUGAGACAGAUAAGGCAAGUGAAGACGAUACCACACUUCGGUAAUUAGAAGUUUCGUGAUUACGAGAUCAUUCUCCCACAAUAUUUCCUAAUGUCAUUUGUACUAAAUCAUUCA
RNAcentral lists this long non-coding RNA (16884 nucleotides) under Malus domestica (apple). Lineage: Eukaryota; Viridiplantae; Streptophyta; Magnoliopsida; Rosales; Rosaceae. The record is from RNAcentral.